UACGGAGGGUGCGAGCGUUGUUCGGAAUUACUGGGCGUAAAGGGCGCGUAGGCGGCCGAUCAAGUCAGGUGUGAAAGCCCACGGCUUAACCGUGGAAGUGCAUCUGAAACUGGUUGGCUUGAGUACUGGAGGGGGAGGUGGAAUUCCCGGUGUAGAGGUGAAAUUCGUAGAUAUCGGGAGGAAUACCGGUGGCGAAGGCGACUUCCUGGACAGAUACUGACGCUGAGGCGCGAAAGCGUGGGGAGCAAACAGG
Molecule: ribosomal RNA, 253 nt
Filed under: uncultured bacterium
Lineage: Bacteria
Description: partial 16S ribosomal RNA
Rfam family: Bacterial small subunit ribosomal RNA
Source: RNAcentral